Molecule: long non-coding RNA, 355 nt
Organism: Rhinolophus ferrumequinum (greater horseshoe bat)
Lineage: Eukaryota; Metazoa; Chordata; Mammalia; Chiroptera; Rhinolophidae
Exons: 4
Source: RefSeq, a predicted model, not a curated record
CCCGGACAUGCUGCUUGGCAGUGGCGACGCCCGGCGCGCUGGAACUCGGAACCUGGCUCCUGGGAGCAGAGACACUAGGACGCACGGAUGGCGGCAGCGGCGGCAGCAACUGCUGCCGGACUCCCGGGAAGGAGGUACAACUCGCAUCAAUAGGUUUGGUAACAAACACAAUGGACCUACCUCAAAAAAAUGGAGAACAUGGAUUAAAGUGGCCAGUCAGUGAAAAUAAAUGAUAUUGGGAGCACACAGGAGGGAUAUCCAGUUCAUCUUUGAAAGGAGGGGCAAUGCCAAGAGAGAUGUAUUUAGGUGCAGCAGUAAAGAAUAAAAUGCAGGAGAGACAACCAAGAUGGCACAG